GGGCCUUUAGCUCAGUUGGUAGAGCAUCUGACUUUUAAUCAGAGGGUCGCAGGUUCGAACCCUGCAGGGCCUA
Molecule: transfer RNA, 73 nt
Filed under: Holospora curviuscula
Lineage: Bacteria; Pseudomonadati; Pseudomonadota; Alphaproteobacteria; Holosporales; Holosporaceae
Rfam family: tRNA
About the family: Transfer RNA (tRNA) molecules are approximately 80 nucleotides in length. Their secondary structure includes four short double-helical elements and three loops (D, anti-codon, and T loops).
Source: Rfam by way of RNAcentral